Molecule: long non-coding RNA, 2605 nt
Organism: Aethalodelphis obliquidens (Pacific white-sided dolphin)
Lineage: Eukaryota; Metazoa; Chordata; Mammalia; Artiodactyla; Delphinidae
Exons: 3
Source: RefSeq, a predicted model, not a curated record
GUACAAAGGAGCAGAAGCCAAGUUGGUUUCAAGAUUUCUCUGCAGCACAAACGCCAACUGGACCAACAUCCUAGUGAACUUGAAAGAUAAAGGUCCUGACCCUAAAUUCCAUGCCCGUCCAUGCCCGUUAACCUUGCGAGGUGGCAACAGGAAGUCAUCCUCCUAUAGGCAACAUGUCCUUCUCCAAAGAUAUUCCUGAAGGGUGCGCUCCAGCCCUUCAAGAGAGCCAGAUGGGGACACUCGCUGAGGGGAGGUCACGAGGUGGGGGGGUGGCAGCGACACAUUCGUUCCAUGUGAAUCCUUGUGCAUUUUGGUUAUAAAGUUGAAAAAUGCAUACAUGUGUUUGGAAGGUCUUUAGGGAGUAAAUGGAAGAGUGAACAUUUCUGGACUAGAUGCAUGUGAGUGGUUUGUGUUGUAUGAUACUCUGAGACCUGGGUGUGGGGGGGUUCCUAGCCCCUGUUUGGGCCUCAGUUUUUCUGUUUAUAAAAGGAAAACGUGACCUUUCACCUUGCAAGGGCUACUUUACUCCUUAGCUAGAUUACUGGGACACCGUUGACUGUUGGGUAGGGAGACUCUCCCAUCCCCCUUCCUGGUCUCUCACCAACAUUCCAGAAGUUUUCAGUGACAAUUCACUCCAGGGUUUCUGUGUGCUUGCUUAAGGAAUGGUUUUAUUCAUGGAAUUCCAGGACGCCCCAAGAAAUCAUUUGAGGCUCCUCAGAGAAUUGUAGAACCAGGACUCAACGGCCAUGUUUGUGGUUUGAGGGAGUUAACGGGAUGAAUCCAGUUUUGGGUAAAGCUGACCUGUGACUAAAUGCUGUCUAUAGCUUGACAGCCCCCACUGCCACCCCCAGAUGGAACAGAUAGGGACUCAGCCCAACCAGGCUCCAGAACCGCCCCCGCCUACCCCCAUGGCCUGCCACCGCGGUGGGGUGGCCCUGAACCUCCGUCGGCUUUGGUUCUGCAACUUUUUCCAAACCUGAAGCGUGAUUCACGUCCCAGAUCGACUUGUGGAAUUUCUGAAAGCUGAGGAGUCUGUGCUUCCCAGAGGCUGCCCUACUCCCACCUUUGGUGGCAGCCCGAGAAGGAAGCUGGGAAAACACGCACCACAUUCUUCCUGCAUGAAGCACCGUCCGCAUCGGGGAGGAGGAGAUGGCUAAGAGCCUGGAUGACUCCUGGCGUCUCAGACGGCUCUUUAGAAAGAAAAUACUGGCCAGAGUGGAGGUGGGUGGCCCAUUCCUUGUUCUAGCCGAGGACACAUUGCCAUCCCCCAGCAAGGCGGUCCCCCGGGAGGACUCCACGUGCUAGCAGUGCUGGUAAAGAGAUGAAUAACCCCUGUCUGGUUAAUGGCUGUUUGAUUUCCUCAUGCCAGUGAAAACCGGCCGUUUUCUACUGAGCUUUUAUCUGGAGUGGGGUAUCACCCCUGCUCCACAGCAGAGCGAUGAGAGAUAAAGGCCACAGAGAAGCGGCGGUCUCUGUGGGUCUCUGAGCCAUCGGGGGAGCAACAAUGCAGCCACUGUGCGGCCCACAAAGGAUCACAGGAGAGGGACCCACCAGGGGAGGUGACGGGGAGCAGCUUCCCCGUGGGAACUCUUGCAAAACUGGGACCUACUGUGUGGUACGUGCUAAGGGGCGUCAUGGGCAGUUUCCCUGCGGCUAGAUAGACCCUGAUUCUUCCCCUUUAUUUUUAAAUUUUUUUAGUUAAUAAGCUUUAUUUUUCAAAGCAGUGUUAGGUGCACUGCAAAACGGAGUAGGAAGUACAGAGAUCAGCCGUAUCCCUCCUCCCCCCCAACUCUACUUACAACCCUCCUCCACUCUCACCAUCUCCCACCAGAGUGGUAAUUGGUUACAACUGAUGGACCUAUGUUGACAUGUCAUUAUCACCGAAAGCCCAUAGUUUACACUGAGGUCACUCUUGGUGGUGGACAUUCAUGGAUUUGGGCAGAUAUACAAUGACACCUGUCCAUCAUUACUGUUUCGUAUGGAGUAAUUUCACUGUCCUGAAACUCCCCCAUCUAUUCAUCCUCCUCCACCCCCUGGCAACCACUGAUGUUUUUACUGUCUCCAUAGUUUCGUCUUUUCCAGAACGUCAUAUAGCUGGAAUCACAUAGUCUGAAGCCUUUUCAGAUCGACUUCUUUCACUUACUAACGUGCAUUUAAGCCUCCUGCAUGUCUUUUUAUGACUUGAUAGCUAAUUUCUUUUUAGUGCUGAAUAUUAUUCCAUGGUCUGGAUGGACCACCGUUGAUUUAUCCAUUCACCUUCUGAAGGACAUCUUGGUUGCUUCCAAGUUUUGGCAAUUAUGAGUAAAUGUGCUAUAAACAUCUGCGUGCCAGUUUCUGUGUGGAUAUGUUUCCAGUUCAUUUGGAUAACUAUCAAGGGGCGUGAUUGCUGGAUGAUACGGUCAGAGUGUGUUUAGUUCUGAAAGAAAGCUCCAAAUCGUCUUCCAAAGCGGCUGUACCGUUUUGCCUUGCACCCAUCAGCCGUGGGUGAGAGUUCCUGCCGCUCCACAGCCUCCCCAGCAUUUGGUGUUGUCAGUGUUUUUGAUUUUGGCCAUUCUCACAGAGGACAGGCUCUGGACGCACAGACUCAGUGGCCAUGGCUCACAGG